This 211-nucleotide long non-coding RNA is filed under the name Homo sapiens (human). RNAcentral's name for it is "non-protein coding lnc-DUSP10-8:1". Lineage: Eukaryota; Metazoa; Chordata; Mammalia; Primates; Hominidae. The record is from RNAcentral.
UGGAAGCCUCAAAAUAUCCCAUGUCAGUCAUUCAAAUUAGUUGUGAUACUUUAGAACAGGACUUCUUUAUCUUUAGGAUCUACAGAUGUAUUUUAAUGAUCUGAAAUUGUACCCAAAUCCUCUAGGUACCUGUAUAGUUGUUUUCGUGAAAGAAGCAGCUUUACUUUCUUAAAUAAGAUCUGCAACCCAAAAAAUAUUGAGAAUUAUUGAC